GGGAAGGUGCAUAUUUUUUAAUUUUUGAUGGGCUGCAAAUAGAAAAAAGGUGCAAGGAGAUACAGUUGUUGUGUACGUAGAGGCUCAUAUUGUUUAGGUUGUCCAUGGUUUGUAUUUUGGAUCCAAUUAUUAAAUGGAUUAUGAUAUGGGGAUAAUUAUUAGCAGGUCAUAUUGACUAGACUUAUUUACUCACAAGUCCCAAGUGAAUUUGUUUAUUUUUUAACAUAUUUGCCUCUUGUUUUGAUAAUGAGAACAUUUUCAAACUUUUUAGAUGUGUUUUGUGUUUGUGGAAUGAUAAUUUGUUAGUAGUAAUGAUAUUGAUAAAUUUAUCAAAUUUGACUUUUGUUUGUGAAUUUGUUUUAUUCUUAGUUUAUUUGUGUUAGUUUGUAUUGAAAUAUGAUGUGGGAAAUAGUUGAAUUGCAUUUAAAAAAAAACAUUUUUUAAGUGAUAAAUUUAUCAUUGAAAGUUGGAGUGUACUUUUUGAUAAAUAAGUCCAGUCCACAGGACUAGCUUGUAACUACCCCUAUUAUAUAUAUGUUUUGUUAUGUGUAGAAUAGUCUGAGUGGUAAAAAAGGUCAAAGUUUCUUAUUUUGAAUUUAUGUCAUAGUUGGAGUAGAAUUAGAAGUCAUAGUAAUAGUUCGUCUAGAAUUUUUGUAGUUUUAGUUUCUAAAUUUGAGUCUUAAUCCUUUGUUUGAGUAGGGAGUAAGGGAGUCUUUAGCCUAUAAAUAUAUGUGUACUCUCAAUGAUUUAAUAGAGUUCAAAUUAUGAGAAUUUAAGAUUGUGUUUGUGUGUGAUUGGCGUAACCCUUUCGAGGGUGAAACACCUAUUUCUUCUUCUAUUUCUUUUUCUUCUUCUUUUUGUACAUACCCAAGUUACUAUUUUCCGGUUAUAUCAUUCAUAGCCCUCAAAAAGUGCACUUUUCAGCCCGAAAAUCCUUUACAAUCAAACCCAAAUCUAAAUAGCCUCUGUUCUGAAAAUCCAAAAAGCUGUCCUACAUUACAUUGUCUGGCAAAUGACCACACUUUGACUUUGCUGAUAAUGUUGUAUGAAUUGGAAAUUAGUAUGUUUACUUCGUCAAGAUCUUUUUCGACUGUAUGAUUAAUUCAUGAUUAUCAAAAUAAAUGAACUGAUCCUCAGUUUCUUCUUCCAUCAGAAUCUACUUUUUGUUCUGACCAUGUGAUAUUUAAGUUUCAAAUGUACAGUAAUCAUCCAUUCUAAUUGAUUUGUUGCUUGGACAGAAUAUGAUCAGUAUGUUUUUUUUGUCAUAUAUGUAGAAUAUUGUUUUGCAUCAGUUCAAUUAAUUUAGGCUGAGCAGUGUGUUUUGUUGUCUGUUGACAUUUGUUGCUUUUCAUGUCAUCAAAUAUUCAUGCUUAGCACCUUAGUUUUUUAUUUUUCUUUUUUGGGUUAAAUAGGGCUAUGUUAAGAACAUCACACCAAAGGGAUGCUUCAUUAUGCUUUCUCGGAAGCUCGAUGCGAAAAUCCUUCUCUCAAACUUGUCUGAUGGCUAUGUUGAAAAUCUCGAAAAAGAAUUCCCUAUUGGGAAACUUGUUGUUGGCAAGGUGGCAUCUGUGGAGCCUUUGUCUAAGCGAGUUGAAGUCACCCUUAGGACAUCAAAUGCAAG
Non-coding RNA from Camellia sinensis, 1621 nucleotides. Lineage: Eukaryota; Viridiplantae; Streptophyta; Magnoliopsida; Ericales; Theaceae. The record is from RefSeq and is a predicted model, not a curated record.